RNAcentral lists this ribosomal RNA (226 nucleotides) under uncultured bacterium. RNAcentral's name for it is "partial 16S ribosomal RNA". It matches the Rfam family "Bacterial small subunit ribosomal RNA", at positions 538 to 763 of the family's 1533-position model. The record is from RNAcentral.
GCGUUAUCCGGAAUUAUUGGGCGUAAAGAGCUUGUAGGCGGUUCGUCGCGUCUGGUGUGAAAGCCCAUCGCUUAACGGUGGGUUUGCGCCGGGUACGGGCGGGCUAGAGUGCAGUAGGGGAGACUGGAAUUCUCGGUGUAACGGUGGAAUGUGUAGAUAUCGGGAAGAACACCAAUGGCGAAGGCAGGUCUCUGGGCUGUUACUGACGCUGAGAAGCGAAAGCGUG